AUAUAUAGUCUCUGGCGUGUCAGCUGUAUUAGCGAAGUGACUGAAUAAUAGCUUGAAAUACUCAGAAACAGCGCUGGCGCAAUCAAAAGUGUCAGAUAAUUUAAGACGGAACGGAAGGUCGCUGUUGGUACUGUCAUUAUGUUCGGCGGGGAUUAUACUUAAGUACUGUUGUUGGGCGUCAUGGUGGCAAAGACGAAAAAGGCAAAGUGUGCACAUUACACGGGAGUGAUGAGCAUUAAAAUUUGCGAACAAAAUGCUAUGCAGAUAAGGACAAAAUAAGGCGCUCUCAUAAACGAGCCGCGCUUUCUUGAAAAUGGGAUAAGCGCCGCUGAAUGGUUGUGAUACAUCAGUUUGAGAGUAAAUCAAGGACUGUUGCACGUCAAAAGACGUGAAAGACAGGACAAUUUCUGUGGAGUAGCACCAUCAUGUUAUGAAUGUUCCAUAACGCAAUAAAAUUUUUCAGCUUUCUGCUUAACGUACUGCACUUUUUACAACAUGAUAACCUCUGAACCUGCUGGUCGCAGGAGUCUGAGUUUUCACAUAGUCAAAAUAAGUGAGAUGUUCACUUGCUUCGACCUGGCGGUAAAUGAAGGGAAUAUCAAUGAAAGAGCUAAACGUUGUGUUUAUUGGUAGCAAUUACGAAGACUGGAUUGACAGUUCCUGCUACACAGUAUAAAAGUGCAAACACACUUGCUUUUGUUACGUGUUUCAAAUCAAUAAAGAGAAAAUAAUGCGUUUUCAUAUUCUGUAAUGAAUUACAUUCAUAUGAUUAGUGAAAAGCCAUCAACUGUAAAGAAUUCAAAUACUUUGUAAUAGCAGUGACAGCAGAUACCAUCCACUAUGUUUACUUGUUGAUUAAGGCCAUCUGUGAUCAUUGAAUAUUCAGAAAAGACUGAAGUUUGGCAAUAAGCUAUACACAGCACUAAUAUAGUUACCAUAUGUAUUGCCAAUAUUUUAGUGUACUUAUCUGAAAUUGUCUCGUGUUGAGAACAAUAUAUGUCUUCCAUUUUUGUGCUUGUGUGAAAAAUUUCCACAGUUAAAAUUAUUAUACUAGGAUUUAUAUUACACAUUAAAUGUACAGAAAAACACUUUAAAUGAUGUGCAAUAAUAUGUAUAUUUAUGGAGAUUUGUUUAAAUAAAACUAUUACAGUGGCAGACACAGA
Molecule: long non-coding RNA, 1163 nt
Organism: Schistocerca gregaria
Lineage: Eukaryota; Metazoa; Arthropoda; Insecta; Orthoptera; Acrididae
Exons: 2
Source: RefSeq, a predicted model, not a curated record